GGAGUGUCUAUAUUGUGUUCAUCACUUUUUCUACUGUGUCUAUUUCUUCAACUUUACUCUUCCUGUCCUGGAAGAAGUAGGGGCAUGGGGUGCUGCUUGCAGCCAUGCCUCACUGUUAGGGCUCAGAGUUGCUGGCAGGACUAGCUCAGCCAUACCGAGGCCCUUGACCAUCUCACUUUGUACCUACAGACUCAGAAUGACUUUUUGGCAACGCCGCCUGCUUGGAGUCGGUGAGUGUUACUUCAGCGUGGUCAGAAGGGAAUGCCUCCACAUUCCAAGUAUUAAACAAACACGUGGAAAGAUCUCUGUAAGGAGGAGGGAAAUAAUUAUACACCGAGGACUGCUGUGCUUUGUGGUGACUUUCCCCACAGAAGAGGAAGAUGGAUUUGAUGAGAGGAGAAGGAAAGUGGUGGCUAUUACUAAGUGACCUGCAAUCUCAUCUGAAGGGAUAUUUGUGCAGGACCCUGCUUCUGAACAUGAGCCCUUGGCCACUACAGGGGAACCACCAACUCAGUCUAUUGAUCUAUUGGUCUGUGGCUAUCUGGAUAUGUGAACAUAUUGAAUGAAGAGGAAAACAUUGCUGCUAUCUCCAAAGGCAGUAAAGUAGAAGUUUUAGUAUGGUACACAUAGACAACUUGCUGUUAACCAGAAGAAAUAGGUAUUGCAUGAUACAUGAGAAUCAGAGAGUGUCUUAUAUUGGAAGAGACCUUAAAGGUCACCUAGAUACAGUCUCCUUCUCCAACCCUUCCUUGAAUAUACCUAGAGACAGGGAAUCCACAGUUUCUCUGGACAACCUGUUUCAGUGCCUUACCACCCUCUCAGUAAAGAGUUUCCUAUAAAUAUCUAACCUAAAUCUCCCAUUUUAAUUUAAAACCGUUCUCUGUUGUUCUAUCAUUAUCAGACUCUGUGAAAAGUCAGGCUCCCUCCUGUUUUUAAACUUCCUUCAAGUAAUGGAAGGGCACAACGUGGAUACCCCAGAGCCUUCUCUGUGAAGCCCGGUUCCCUCAGCCUGUCUUCAUAAGAGAGGUGCUGGAACUCUCUGAUCAUUUUUGUAGCCUCCUCUGGACCCUUCCAACAGCUCCACAUCCCUCCUGUGCUUGAGGCCCCAGGCCUGGACACAGUACUCCAGGUGAGGCUUCACAAGGACUGAGUAGAUGUGGACAGUUAUCUCCUCUCCUUGCAGGCUGCCUCUGUGGUGCAGUCCAAGAUACUGUUGGCCCUUCCAAGCUCAAUGAAGUUGUGAGGGCAGCAGUGAUGGAGAAGGAAGAAGCAAUCCUUACUGGGGAUCUAGUAGCAAAAUUCCUUGAGGAUUUGUAUUUGGCAUCCUGUGUGUAAUUUUUGAUGCUGAAAAAAAGCUGGCAGUAAUGAUGAAAUUGGAUGACAGCACAAAGCUGAGAAGAACUGUAAAUGCAGAGGGGGAUUAGGCUAUCUUAGAAGAAAAAAUGAACAAUUUUGAGGCCUUCAAUAGGAAUAGAAAAGGGAUAAAAUAUAUUAAUGCAGAGAGCGAGGUCAUAUUUGAAGUUCCUUUCCAGUGCUUUUCUUGUCAAGUACAUAUGUAACAGAUACAAAUUUGUAGGCCUAGCUGUCUGAAGUGUAGUUCAUUUUAAAAUAAAAACAGAUUUUAUUAAAUGCUUCUGUCAUUAUUUGGUUUGUAGCAGAUAUGAGGACU
This is a long non-coding RNA of Lagopus muta (rock ptarmigan), 1669 nucleotides long. RefSeq lists it as uncharacterized. Lineage: Eukaryota; Metazoa; Chordata; Aves; Galliformes; Phasianidae. The record is from RefSeq and is a predicted model, not a curated record. The transcript has 4 exons.